This 620-nucleotide ribosomal RNA is filed under the name Rossellomorea vietnamensis. RNAcentral's name for it is "bacterial SSU rRNA". It matches the Rfam family "Bacterial small subunit ribosomal RNA", at positions 79 to 683 of the family's 1533-position model. Lineage: Bacteria; Bacillati; Bacillota; Bacilli; Caryophanales; Bacillaceae. The record is from RNAcentral. RNAcentral also lists the same sequence under 1 other name.
CUUGCUCCCUGAUAUCAGCGGCGGACGGGUGAGUAACACGUGGGUAACCUGCCUGUAAGACUGGGAUAACUCCGGGAAACCGGGGCUAAUACCGGAUAACUCAUUUCCUCGCAUGAGGAAAUGUUGAAAGGUGGCUUCGGCUAUCACUUACAGAUGGACCCGCGGCGCAUUAGCUAGUUGGUGAGGUAACGGCUCACCAAGGCAACGAUGCGUAGCCGACCUGAGAGGGUGAUCGGCCACACUGGGACUGAGACACGGCCCAGACUCCUACGGGAGGCAGCAGUAGGGAAUCUUCCGCAAUGGACGAAAGUCUGACGGAGCAACGCCGCGUGAGUGAUGAAGGUUUUCGGAUCGUAAAGCUCUGUUGUUAGGGAAGAACAAGUGCCGUUCGAAUAGGGCGGCACCUUGACGGUACCUAACCAGAAAGCCACGGCUAACUACGUGCCAGCAGCCGCGGUAAUACGUAGGUGGCAAGCGUUGUCCGGAAUUAUUGGGCGUAAAGCGCGCGCAGGUGGUUCCUUAAGUCUGAUGUGAAAGCCCACGGCUCAACCGUGGAGGGUCAUUGGAAACUGGGGAACUUGAGUGCAGAAGAGGAAAGUGGAAUUCCAAGUGUAGCGGUG